Molecule: ribosomal RNA, 776 nt
Filed under: uncultured Neocallimastigales
Lineage: Eukaryota; Fungi; Neocallimastigomycota; Neocallimastigomycetes; Neocallimastigales
Description: partial large subunit ribosomal RNA
Rfam family: Eukaryotic large subunit ribosomal RNA
Source: RNAcentral
ACACGCAUGACACACUGCAUAUCAAUAAGCGGAGGAAAAGAAACUAACAAGGAUUCCCUUAGUAACGGCGAGUGAAGCGGGAAGAGCUCAAAUUUGAAAUCUUCAAGGUUCUACCUUGACGAAUUGUAGUUUAUAAGAAGUGUUUUCUGUUAGUAGGAGUGGCAGAAGUUCUUUGGAAUAGGACAUCAUAGAGGGUGAGAAUCCCGUAUUUGGUCAUUCUUCUAGCUUUGUGAUACACUUUCAACGAGUCGGAUUGUUUGGGAAUGCAGUCCAAAAUGGGUGGUAAAUUUCAUCUAAAGCUAAAUACUGGCGAGAGACCGAUAGCGAACAAGUACCGUGAGGGAAAGAUGAAAAGAACUUUGAAAAGAGAGUUAAACAGUACGUGAAAUUGUCAAAAGGGAAGCGUUUGACACCAGUGUUGUUUUCUCGAAAAUCAAUUAAAAAUGGUGGGAUGUUGUGUUGUAUUGACUUUAUCAGCUUUCUGCACUUUUUUUCCUAUCUUUUUUAAUGCACUUUUCGUUUAACAAGUCAACAUCAAUUUCUUUUGUUGUAAAAGAGUCAUUGGAAGGUGGCUUUCUUUUCGGAGAAAGUGUUUAUAGCCUUUGGCUUCUGCAAUCGGAGAGAUUGAGGUCUGCAGCGUAGAUCCUUCGGGGUUAGAUACAUUUGUGCUAAGUUAUAGCCUUUCAUAGACAACUUGUUGACUAUGAUCAGUCAUGUAGCUUACUCGCUUAUGUCAUUUUACCUACGCUUAGGAUGUUGACGCAUGAGAUAUACGC